AGAACGAACGCUGGCGGCGUGGAUAAGACAUGCAAGUCGAACGCGACUUAUUUUGUUAGCAAUAACCGAGUAAGUUGAGUGGCGAAAGGGUGCGUAACACGUGGGAAUUUACCAAGAAGUGGGGAAUAGCUCGACGAAAGUCGAAUUAAUACCGCAUGUGAUCGUAAGAUCAAAGUCGGGGACCGCAAGGCCUGACGCUUCUUGAGAAGCCCGCGGCCCAUCAGCUAGUUGGCGAGGUAAAAGCUCACCAAGGCUAUGACGGGUAGCUGGUCUGAGAGGACGACCAGCCACACUGGAACUGAGACACGGUCCAGACACCUACGGGUGGCAGCAGUCGAGAAUUUUUCACAAU
RNAcentral lists this ribosomal RNA (352 nucleotides) under uncultured bacterium. RNAcentral describes it as "SSU rRNA". It matches the Rfam family "Bacterial small subunit ribosomal RNA", at positions 26 to 372 of the family's 1533-position model. The record is from RNAcentral.